This is a long non-coding RNA of Amphimedon queenslandica, 324 nucleotides long. RefSeq lists it as uncharacterized. Lineage: Eukaryota; Metazoa; Porifera; Demospongiae; Haplosclerida; Niphatidae. The transcript is spliced from 2 exons. The record is from RefSeq and is a predicted model, not a curated record.
CCAGAAAUGUUUUGACACGGAGUAGUAUACGGAGUCAAUUACUUUAGUAAAUUAUUGUUCACAAUUAUAGGGCAAGCAAAUGGAAGACUAGAAAAAGCUGCCAUGGUUCUGAAACCGAAGCUACAAUGAAAAUUGCUCAUUUUUGUAGCUGCAACUAAAGAAUGGCUUGGACUCGCCUUCAGUAGCAGCGGCCAUUGUGAUAUAGGCAGAUGGACCGUUAUUGUAGAAAACAACAUUUUUUAAAAAAAUAAUUUUUAGUUUGUAAACUUAUUGUAUGAAAUAACCAUUCUUUUUCUUUCUUCCAAUAAAAAGAACUUUGAUAAA